CCUACGGGGGGCAGCAGUGGGGGAUAUUGCACAAUGGGGGAAACCCUGAUGCAGCGACGCCGCGUGGGCGAAGAAGUAUUUAGGUAUGGAAAGCCCUAUCAGCAGGGAAGAAGAAAUGACGGUACCUGAGUAAGAAGCACCGGCUAAAUACGUGCCAGCAGCCGCGGGAAUACGUAUGGUGCAAGCGUUAUCCGGAUUUACUGGGUGUAAAGGGAGCGCAGGCGGCACGGCAAGCCUGAUGUGAAAGCCCGCGGCCCAACCGCGGGACUGCAUUGGGAACUACCGGGCUGGAGUGCCGGUGAGGUAGGCGGAAUGCCUAGUGUAGCGGUGAAAUGCGUAGAUAUUAGGAGGAACACCAGUGGCGAAGGCAGCCUACUGGACGGUGACUGACGCUGAGGCUCGAAAGCGUGGGGAGCAAACAGGAUUAGAUACCCCUGUAGUC
This 442-nucleotide ribosomal RNA is filed under the name uncultured bacterium. RNAcentral's name for it is "partial 16S ribosomal RNA". It matches the Rfam family "Bacterial small subunit ribosomal RNA", at positions 338 to 795 of the family's 1533-position model. The record is from RNAcentral.